RNAcentral lists this microRNA precursor (94 nucleotides) under Trifolium pratense (red clover). RNAcentral's name for it is "pre miRNA mir-166". It matches the Rfam family "mir-166 microRNA precursor family". Rfam says of the family: This family represents the plant microRNA (miRNA) precursor mir-166. Lineage: Eukaryota; Viridiplantae; Streptophyta; Magnoliopsida; Fabales; Fabaceae. The record is from Rfam by way of RNAcentral.
GUUGAGGGGAAUGUUGUCUGGCUCGAGGCUUUUCAUAGUUGAUGAUCUCUCAUAUACCAUGGAAAGCUUCGGACCAGGCUUCAUCCCCCUCAAA